UUAUGUAACAAAUAUCUUUCAAAGGAUCACACUUGUGGGGGCACAAGGAUAAGAAAGAUAUUUCAGGAAGGUGAACGAAGGAAAUCCAUUUAGGUUUUCUUUGACUAAAGUCAUUCUUCUCCAUCAGUAGUGCCUCUAUUCUGAUUUCUGCUUCUUCGGUGCUUCAAUCAGUGCUUCCAUCGUUGGUGUCGCUCCCAAUCUCGUCUCUCGUUUGUGAGUUUGAGUGGUUGUGGAGUUGAGGGUUGUGGUCUCUGGUUUACGUUUCGACUUGUGUCGCUUCAGUGGUGUAUGACUUUGAGGUAGGUUUUUUUCAAAUUUUUUGUGUGGUAGUUUUACCCUUUUGAGCACUACCAGUGAUGAUGUUGUUUUUUUUGUUUAUAGUUGUUGUUUGGAUGAAAAAGGUUGUAUAAACUACUUGUUAUUUUUGCUGUUACUGCAGUAGAAAAUCUUGUUGUAUUGGGCUGUUUUGAUUGUUGUUACUGCACCAGAAACUUUACUGUUUUAACAUUAAAUUGGUGCAGAAAAUUGUUUGUUGUUUUGAUUAGAAUGCUACAAAAAAUUGUUUGCUGUUUUGAUGCUGUUACUGCAGAAAAAUUAUUUGUUGUUUGGGUUAAAAUUGUUGCAGGAAUUCUCUGCUGUUACUACAAAAAAUUGUUUUUUUUGUUUAUAGUUGUUGUUUGGAUGAAAAAGGUUGUAUAAACUGCUUGUUAUUUUUGCUGUUACUGCAGUAGAAAAUCUUGUUGUAUUGGGCUGUUUUGAUUGUUGUUACUGCACCAGAAACUCUUAUAUUACAAAGUAUUUAUUCAAAAAGAGCUUAUGAUGUGAGAGCUAUGUCAUAAGUUAAGUUUCACUGUAAAGCUAAUUCAAUUCAGAUAAAGCUAAAUAGAAUUUAUAAGAUGAUCCUAACCUCACAUUUUUCACUUUUUAACUAUUUUUUAUGAUUAAUGAUAAGAUAAAUCCAAACAAGUUUCAUAGAAGUUUUUUCAAAUGGUCCCAUAGUCAUGUUUUAAAGAUAUAUUUUUUGAGUAGUAAACUCGUUUACUUUUCUCCAGCUAUGUGGUUCCAUUCUUGAUUUAUUGAUUGACAUACUACUUCUCUGCCUCUAUUCCCAUUCCUUUUCUUGCUCUUUAUAUGUUUAUAUUGUAGAUCCCAUCCUCAUUCUACAAAUUUAUUCUGAAUAAAUGUUUUUUAUUUUUAUAUAUAUAUAUAUAUAUGUAUGUGUGUGUAUGUGUAUGUGUAUGUGUAUGUGUAUGUGUAUGUGUAUGUGUAUGUGUAUGUGUAUGUGUAUGUGUAUGUGUGUGUGUGUGUGUGUGUGUAUGUGUAUGUGUAUGUGUGUGUGUGUGUGUGUGGAACACAGAAGACAGGUAAAAAAUAAUUUAUUCACUUAUGAGGGUGCUAUGUAGGUCUUUAUAAAGAUUAAGGUAACUAUUUUUAACUGCUUUUCCUAACUGAGUUUCUGACACAGCACAUUCAGUUGUAACUACACGAUAUAUGUUACUUGUAUACUAGCCAUGCUACACUCUUAUAUUACAAAGUAUUUAUUCAAAAAGAGCUUAUGAUGUGAGAGCUAUGUCAUAAGUUAAGUUUCAAUUCGGAUAAAGCUAAAUAGAAUUUAUAAGAUGAUCCUAACCUCACAUUUUUCAUUUUUUAACUAUUUUUUAUGAUUAAUGAUAAGAUAAAUCCAAACAAGUUUCAAGUUCUGAAACCGGUAAGUCUCUUAACUCUAGACGCUCGUUUCUGAGUUACAUGCAAACCAAGAUUCGGCUACAUGCAAGGGUAUAAGCUAAAUUCUUCUGCGUUUUCUUUUGGUUAGAUUUAGUUGGAGAACUUAAGAAAAACGUUGAGGGUAGAAAGCCAUAGUUGGACGAGUCAAAAUCACACUCUUAGGACGUUCACUACUGAUCCAGAAGGCGAGGCCACUCUAGAGGAUAUUAUUGAAAAAAAAAAUCUGGUUGAAGUGGAAAUUAAAACCGAGCCUUAAAACGCUCGUUCAUAUUAGAAGUUUAGAUGUUAGCUUUUAUUUUGACGUUCGGUUAAAUGUUUUUGUAAAGUCGUUCCUUCUAAACCUUCAUUGUUUCCGCAUUUUAAUUCUGUACUUUAAGCCGUUCGAUUUUUGAACCUCGUUAUUUUAAUGUAAAGACUGCAUUGUUUUA
Molecule: long non-coding RNA, 2153 nt
Organism: Vigna angularis (adzuki bean)
Lineage: Eukaryota; Viridiplantae; Streptophyta; Magnoliopsida; Fabales; Fabaceae
Exons: 3
Source: RefSeq, a predicted model, not a curated record